Molecule: ribosomal RNA, 499 nt
Filed under: Anguilla interioris (highlands long-finned eel)
Lineage: Eukaryota; Metazoa; Chordata; Actinopteri; Anguilliformes; Anguillidae
Description: partial 16S rRNA
Rfam family: Bacterial large subunit ribosomal RNA
Source: RNAcentral
GAAGGUAGCGUAAUCAUUUGUCUUUUAAAUAGAGACCUGUAUGAAUGGCAUAACGAGGGUUUAACUGUCUCCCUCCCCUAGUCAAUGAAAUUGAUCUGCCCGUGCAGAAGCGGACAUAAACACAUAAGACGAGAAGACCCUAUGGAGCUUUAGACAAAAGAUCAAACAUGUAAAGAAACCAAACUAACCAAAAGGAACACAAGGGCCACAAAACCCGACGUAAAAUGAUCCAAAUGUCUUCGGUUGGGGCGACCAUGGGGGAAAGAAAAGCCCCCACGAGGAACUAGGGGCAAUCCAUUAAGUCAAGAGAUACACCUCUAAACAACAGAAAAUCUGACCAAAAAUGACCCAGGACACUAAUCCUGAUCAACGAACCAAGUUACCCUAGGGAUAACAGCGCAAUCCUUUCCCAGAGUCCAUAUCGACGAAAGGGUUUACGACCUCGAUGUUGGAUCAGGACAUCCUAAUGGUGCAGCCGCUAUUAAGGGUUCGUUUGUUC